AACAGACUCCCCCUUGGAUGUUGACGAAGUCUUCGGUACGAGUCUUCAGUUCGUCGAAUCUUCAGACUUGAUCAGUCUUCAUGCUCUUUUCAAAGUAUCUGACACUAUCUCUUGAUUCCUUAAGUUCUUCAGCAUCAGUAGCUAGCGUGCACAACAGGAUUCGAACUUGGCUCUAAGUUCUUAAGCAAUCAGCAACUUCUAUCUCGAGCUUUGUUCCAGAAUCUGAACCUGGCUCUCUAACAUUCAAACUCCCCCUUGAAUGUUGAUCCAGAAUCUGUAUCUGGCUCUUAUGUCUUCAGACUCCCCGUUUCGAUAAGCUGGGAUCGCAGUCUGGAAUAGCUCUCAUUCUAGGAUUGUAACCUGGCUCAAACUCUGCUCAGGCUUAGACUCACUUUGCAGCUUUCACAGGUUCACGACCGUUGCCUGGCUCUCAGAAACCUUGCUCUAAUAUGCAUAUCCUCAUGCUGAAAGUCCACAGGAAUCGGAACCUGGCUUUUACAAAGCUGUACCUGCACAAACUCUUCCAAAACAUAAGAUAUUGUUUAACAAUUUUAAUUUCUGCUAACCACUUGUUAGAUCAAUCUCAAAACAUCACUUGUUUGAUUA
Molecule: long non-coding RNA, 606 nt
Organism: Helianthus annuus (common sunflower)
Lineage: Eukaryota; Viridiplantae; Streptophyta; Magnoliopsida; Asterales; Asteraceae
Exons: 2
Source: RefSeq, a predicted model, not a curated record